RNAcentral lists this ribosomal RNA (421 nucleotides) under uncultured archaeon. RNAcentral's name for it is "partial 16S ribosomal RNA". It matches the Rfam family "Archaeal small subunit ribosomal RNA", at positions 323 to 746 of the family's 1478-position model. The record is from RNAcentral.
CUACGGGGGACUGCAGUUAGGAAUAAUCUACAAUGCACGAAAGUGUGAUAGUUUGAGCCAGAGUGCGUUUCUAUUGAAACGCUUUUAUGAAAUGUAAAAAGUUUUUUGAAUAAGGACUGGGUAAGACUAGUGCCAGCCGCCGCGGUAAUACUAGCGGUCCAAGUCGCAGCCAUUUUUAUUGGGUCUAAAACAUCCGUAGCUUGCUUAGUAAGUCUUCUGUGAAAUUUCAUAUCUUAAAUAUGAAGCGGGCAGAAGGUACUAUUAAGCUAGAGACCGGAAGGCGUAAGAAGUACGUUCGAAGUAGCGGUUAAAUGUGUUAAUCUCGAGCGGACUCACAAUAGCGAAGGCAUCUUACGAGAACGGUUCUGACAGUCAGGGAUGAAGGCUAGGGGCGCAAAGCGGAUUAGAUACCCGUGUAGUC